CUAAUACAUGCAAGUCGAACGAGUUCUCGUUGAUGAUCGGUGCUUGCACCGAGAUUCAACAUGGAACGAGUGGCGGACGGGUGAGUAACACGUGGGUAACCUGCCCUUAAGUGGGGGAUAACAUUUGGAAACAGAUGCUAAUACCGCAUAGAUCCAAGAACCGCAUGGUUCUUGGCUGAAAGAUGGCGUAAGCUAUCGCUUUUGGAUGGACCCGCGGCGUAUUAGCUAGUUGGUGAGGUAAUGGCUCACCAAGGCGAUGAUACGUAGCCGAACUGAGAGGUUGAUCGGCCACAUUGGGACUGAGACACGGCCCAAACUCCUACGGGAGGCAGCAGUAGGGAAUCUUCCACAAUGGACGCAAGUCUGAUGGAGCAACGCCGCGUGAGUGAAGAAGGCUUUCGGGUCGUAAAACUCUGUUGUUGGAGAAGAAUGGUCGGCAGAGUAACUGUUGUCGGCGUGACGGUAUCCAACCAGAAAGCCACGGCUAACUACGUGCCAGCAGCCGCGGUAAUACGUAGGUGGCAAGCGUUAUCCGGAUUUAUUGGGCGUAAAGCGAGCGCAGGCGGUUUUUUAAGUCUGAUGUGAAAGCCCUCGGCUUAACCGAGGAAGCGCAUCGGAAACUGGGAAACUUGAGUGCAGAAGAGGACAGUGGAACUCCAUGUGUAGCGGUGAAAUGCGUAGAUAUAUGGAAGAACACCAGUGGCGAAGGCGGCUGUCUGGUCUGUAACUGACGCUGAGGCUCGAAAGCAUGGGUAGCGAACAGGAUUAGAUAC
RNAcentral lists this ribosomal RNA (773 nucleotides) under Lactobacillus casei group sp. RNAcentral's name for it is "bacterial SSU rRNA". It matches the Rfam family "Bacterial small subunit ribosomal RNA", at positions 48 to 785 of the family's 1533-position model. The record is from RNAcentral. Lineage: Bacteria; Bacillati; Bacillota; Bacilli; Lactobacillales; Lactobacillaceae.